UACGUAGGAUGCAAGCGUUGUCCGGAAUUAUUGGGCGUAAAGAGCGCGCAGGCGGUAUGACAAGUCAGAUGUGAAAGAGGCCGGCUUAACCGGCAAGGGUCAUUUGAAACUGUCAGACUAGAGUGCAGCAGAGGAUAGUGGAAUUCCCGGUGUAGUGGUGAAAUGCGUAGAUAUCGGGAGGAACACCAGUGGCGAAGGCGACUAUCUGGGCUGCAACUGACGCUGAGGCGCGAAGGCUAGGGUAGCAAACAUG
Molecule: ribosomal RNA, 253 nt
Filed under: uncultured bacterium
Lineage: Bacteria
Description: partial 16S ribosomal RNA
Rfam family: Bacterial small subunit ribosomal RNA
Source: RNAcentral